This 2087-nucleotide non-coding RNA is filed under the name Ricinus communis (castor bean). RNAcentral describes it as "Bacterial large subunit ribosomal RNA". It matches the Rfam family "Bacterial large subunit ribosomal RNA", at positions 1 to 2177 of the family's 2925-position model. The record is from Rfam by way of RNAcentral. Lineage: Eukaryota; Viridiplantae; Streptophyta; Magnoliopsida; Malpighiales; Euphorbiaceae.
GUUCAAAUGAGCAAAGGUUUAUAGUGGAUACCUAGAAACCCAAAGAUGAGGAAGGGCAUAGUAAGUGAGGAAAUACUUCAGGGAGUUGAAAAUAAGCGUAGAUCUAGAGAUUCCUGAAUAGGUCAACCUUUGAAACUGCUGUUGAAUCCAUAAACAGGCAAGAGACAACCUAACGAACUGAAACAUCUUAGUAACUAGAGGAAAAGAAAGCAAAAGGGAUUCUCGUAGUAGCAGCGAGCAAAAUGGAAGCAGCCUAAACCGUGAAAAUAAGGUUAUGGGAGAGCAAUACAAGCGUCGUGCUGCUAAGCAAAGCGGUAGAGUGCUGCACCCUAUAUGGCGGGAGUCCAGUAGCUGAAAGCAUCACUAGCUUAUGAUCUGACUCGAGUAGUAUGAGGCACGUGGAAUCCCGUGUGAAUCAGCAAAGACCACCUUGCAAGGCUAAAUACUCCUGGAUGACUGAUAGCAAAGUAGUACCAUGAGGGAAUGGUGAAAAGAACCCCCAUCGAGGAGUGAAAUAGAACAUGAAACCAUAAGCUCCGAAGCAGUGGAAGGAGCCCGAGGCUCUGAUCGCGUGUCUGUUGAAGAAUGAGUCGAUGACUCAUAGGCAAUGGCUUGGUUAAAGGAACCCACUAGAGCCGAAGCGAAAGCAAGUCUUCAUAGGACAAUUGUCACUACUUAUUGAUCCAAACUUGGAUGAUCUAUCCAUAACCAGGAUGAAGCAUGGUGAAACUAAGUGAAGGUCCGAACCGACUGAUGUUUCUGGUUCUUCUCGAAAUGCAUUGAGGUGCAGUAGAUGACUGGACAUCUAUGGGUAAAGCACUAUUUUCGUACAGGCCGCGAGACCGGUACCAAAUCGAGGCAAACUCUGAAUACUAGAUAUGACCUCAAAAUAACAAGGGUCAAGGUCAACCAGUGAGAUGAUCGGGGAUAAGCUUCAUCGUCGAGAGGAAAACAGCCCGGAUCACUAGAUAAGGCCCCUAAAUUACCGUUCAAUAAUAGAGGUAGGGGUGCGGAGACAGCUAGGAGGUUUGCUUAGAAGCAGCCACCAUUGAAAGAGUGCAUAAUAACUUACUGAUCGAGCGCUCUUGCGCGAAGAUGAAUGGGGCUAAGUGAUCUACCGAAGUUGUAAAAUGUAAAAAUGCACCGGUAGGGGAUUCUUUCGCCUUAUAAGGAAGCACCCGCACGAGUGGGGGUGGACGAAGCGGAAGCGAGAAUGUCAGCUUAAGUAGCACAAACAUUAGUGAGAAUCUAAUGCCCUGAAAACCUAAGAGUUCCUCCUCAAGGCUCGUCCAGGAAGGGUGAAUCAGGGCUUAAGAUCAACCGAAAGGCGUAGUCGAUGGACAACAGGUGAAUAUUCCUAUACUACCCCUUGUUGGUCCUAAGGGACGAAGGAGGCUAGGUUAGCCGAAAGAUGGUUAUUGGUUCAAGGAUGCAAGGAGUACCUGCUUUUUCAAGAUAAGAAGGAGUAGAGAAAAUGUCUCGAGCCAAUGUUCGAGUACCAGUAACCCACACCAUACUCUUAGGAAAAGCUUGAAUGACCUUCAACAAAAGGGUACCUGUGCCUAAAACUGACACAGGUAGGUAGGUAAAGAAUACCUAGGGGCGCGAGACAACUCUCUCUAAGGAACUCAGCAAAAUAGCCCCAUAACUUCAGGAGAAGGAGUGCCUCCUCACAAAGGGGGUUGCAGUGAGCAAGCCCGGGCGACUGUUUACCAAAAACACAGGUCUCCAUAAAAUAGUAAGACUGUAUAUGGGGGCUGACGCAUGCCCAGUACUGGAAGGUCAAGGAAGUUGGUGACCUGAUGACAGGGGAGUCGGCGAUUGAAGCCCCGGUGAACGGCAGCCGUAACUAUAACGGUCCUAAGAUAGAGAAAUUCAUUAUUGAGUAAACGUCGACCCACACUAAGGGCGUAACGAUCUGAGCGCUGUCUCAGAGAGAUGCUCGGUGAAAUACACAUGUCUAUGAAGAUGUGGACUACAUGCACCUGGACAGAAAGAUGUACCUGAUUCAAGCAAUAGCUCGCCUUAAAUAACAUCUUUUUAUCUUCUGGAGUACAAUGGGAUCUUCGUCAAGUUGAUUUGGGUUA